GACGAACGCUGGCGGCGCGCUUAACACAUGCAAGUCGAACGGAAAGGCCCUGCUUUUGUGGGGUGCUCGAGUGGCGAACGGGUGAGUAACACGUGAGUAACCUGCCCUUGACUUUGGGAUAACUUCAGGAAACUGGGGCUAAUACCGGAUAGGAGCUCCUGCUGCAUGGUGGGGGUUGGAAAGUUUCGGCGGUUGGGGAUGGACUCGCGGCUUAUCAGCUUGUUGGUGGGGUAGUGGCUUACCAAGGCUUUGACGGGUAGCCGGCCUGAGAGGGUGACCGGCCACAUUGGGGCUGGGGUACGGCCCAGACUCCUACGGGAGGCAGCAGUGGGGAAUAUUGCACAAUGGGCGGCAGCCUGAUGCAGCAACGCCGCGUGCGGGGUGACGGCCUUCGGGUUGUAGACCGCUUUCGCCUGUGACGAAGCGUGAGUGACGGUAAUGGGUAAAGAAGCACCGGCUAACUACGUG
This 468-nucleotide ribosomal RNA is filed under the name uncultured bacterium. RNAcentral's name for it is "partial 16S ribosomal RNA". It matches the Rfam family "Bacterial small subunit ribosomal RNA", at positions 28 to 507 of the family's 1533-position model. The record is from RNAcentral.